UUCUACUGACCUUAUCCUUUUCAUUCAAACAUAAACCCUAAUCUUCUUAAGGUGAACCUUCUUCUCCCAUUGCAGUUAUUAGCGCCAUCAUCAAUAUUGAAGACUGAAUUUGUUUGAGAAAUUGUUCUUCCAUGGCGAGAUCUGAAGCGGUAAAAUAAAAUCCUAAAUUCCUUAACGCGGUUAUAACAUUCUUCUUCUCCGACGCAGACUUCAUCGAUUUGAAAUUCAACGUUGGUGGUUGCGGUUAGCGAUUGAACUGUGUUAUCCUCAACGAGGAUGAGGAUUGGGUGUUGAUGUUGUAGUGAGGGGAAUAGUGAAAUAGCAUCGAGGUUCAGAUCAUAUGAGGCGACGUCGACGAAGAUGAGCAUAUAAAAGGGUGCAACACUAUGUUUUGUACGACUCUAAGUUAAGCUCUAAGUUUUGUAUGUUUGAGAUUGCUAGGGACCAUGCUAGAGACUUAUGUGCCAAGGUGGGUACUCUAUUCUUCUCAUUUUCUACUUGUAAUGUAUGUUCCUUUUCAUUAGUUAAUUAUUACUUCAAAACAUCAUUUUAGUACUAAUAUAAUGAUGUUAAAGUAACCUAUAUAGAUUUGUUUGCUUUCUGUACCAUGGCUAAAAAAGCCUGCAAAGCUACAAUUUUUAUGAUCAUGGUGAGUUAUGGAUUGUCCAUGUAGCAGAGAAGUAAUGCUACUUAGUAUAACAAUUAUAAUUGUAAGCCAUUGUAUUCCUUUGAUAUUUCUACUUUCAUUACAAUCACUUGACACUUUUUGUGAACUUAUUGUAUUAUUAACAUGAUAUAUAGCAGUAAGCUUUGCUUGGAUGCUUCACACAGCUUUGUUAAAAUUAACACACAACUAAUUUCAUAUCUAGACUUUAGAACAUAAAUAUUGAAGGUUAUCUCUAAGCUUCAGUUACGCCUUAGUCAUAGAACAUAUACUGAUGUCACUAGCCAAUUUGUGUAUGAAACAAAUCCUUGUUCCCAUUCUCAACAAUCAUUCUUAGAUACAUACACAUAUACAUUAUAUUACAUUAAAGAUAGAUUACCUUAUUCAAUUUCAACCCUUCUAUUUUGUUAUUACAUGAUAACUAUACAUAUACAUCAUAAUAUAUUAUAUUUAAGAUAGAUUAUAGACCUUGCAAUUUGAAUGACCAUAGUAGCAAUAACAAAACAGUUUAGUCUGAGAGUUCUAGUAGACCUUCAUGACUGCUCCUGUAACUCUCAAACUCUAAAUCCAUGAUUGCGAUGACAAAUUCUUUCCUAUGUUCCGUUCUUUUGUUUUGGAGUUGAUAAGUAGGCAGAAGCAUAGUGAAAACAUAUGAUCCCUUCUUUUUACAUGAACAUUGGCCAAAGGUCACUCUUAUUAUUAUUACCUGGAUGUUGAUAUGAAAUGCAUUAAAUGAAUGGUUGGAUUAGCUCAACAACAAAUAAAUGAUGAUAAUAAUACUACUUCUUGAUUAGAGACGUUGUCAACAUAUGUCCAUCCUUUGGAUUAACAUGAGAUGUUGUUUUAUAUUUUUUGCAUUCUUAUCUCUUGAGCAGAUCUACCUCAUCAACAAAAUAUAUACCACAGUGAGUGAUUAGAUGAUGUCCCUUGUUUUUCUUGUGCUUGCACCAUCCUAUCUCCUUACACAUUAAUAGUUUCUUGGUUCCUGUGUUACUUAUUGUAGAUAUGAUUUCAACAAUUAUUCGAGGAAUAGGACUUGGUUGAAGUGCAAACAUGACAAUGUUUGAUAAGAGCAUUUUUGGAGAUCAAGUUGGGUCAGAAGAAAAAUCAAGAUUUUGCAUCGUGGGGUCAAAUUUUCGCUUGUCCAAAGUAGUAGAUCAAGCAUGACAAUGUAGGCAUUGUUUUAUUAGAGAUACGCAUUGACAAUCCUUAGAGACGUGUGGACUCAAUUGAUCACUUGAUUUUGUUUUCAUCUGAUUUUGUAUACAAAUGUCUAAACUAAUUUAAUAUUGUCAAAACAAAUGUUGCUCCAAGAAUAUAAAGGUUGG
This 1992-nucleotide long non-coding RNA is filed under the name Lupinus angustifolius (narrow-leaved blue lupine). RNAcentral describes it as "long non-coding RNA (LANG_LNC002466)". The record is from RNAcentral. Lineage: Eukaryota; Viridiplantae; Streptophyta; Magnoliopsida; Fabales; Fabaceae.